CUUGCUUUUUGAAAUAAAAGGUAUUAUAUUACUAAAUUGUCAGGGCAACCUGACUGUGACACCAGAGGCUCCGUGAAAUAGGAUAUUUGGACCCGGGGGCAGUGCCCGGCACCUCCACCAAUUUUUAUAAACAGUGUCCAAGGGGGUGAAUUAGGUUUGACAGGUAUCAGUAAAGAUGGGUAUGCCGUGUCCGGUGAGAUACCACCGUUAUCGGUUCAAAAUAAAAUGAAUGCUAACGAUAAUAACGUAGCUCCUGUUGCUUUGGCUGCUUAAUUGGCAGUUUGCAACAAAAUCAAUUCUUAAGGACUUAGGUUUUCUUUAAGUGGGGUUCUUGGGGCUUUCCUACCAACAGAAAAGCUCC
This 361-nucleotide transfer-messenger RNA is filed under the name human gut metagenome. RNAcentral's name for it is "Alphaproteobacteria transfer-messenger RNA". It matches the Rfam family "Alphaproteobacteria transfer-messenger RNA". From Rfam's summary of the family: Bacterial tmRNA, also known as 10Sa RNA or SsrA, is named for its dual tRNA and mRNA-like properties. Its role is to liberate the mRNA from a stalled ribosome. The record is from RNAcentral.